GAGUUUGAUCCUGGCUCAGGAUGAACGCUAGCGGCAGGCUUAACACAUGCAAGUCGAGGGGUAUAGUUCUUCGGAACUAGAGACCGGCGCACGGGUGCGUAACGCGUAUGCAAUCUACCUUUCACAGAGGGAUAGCCCAGAGAAAUUUGGAUUAAUACCUCAUAGUAUAAUUGAAUGGCAUCAUUUAAUUAUUAAAGUCACAACGGUGAAAGAUGAGCAUGCGUCCCAUUAGCUUGUUGGUAAGGUAACGGCUUACCAAGGCGACGAUGGGUAGGGGUCCUGAGAGGGAGAUCCCCCUCACUGGUACUGAGACACGGACCAGACUCCUACGGGAGGCAGCAGUGAGGAAUAUUGGUCAAUGGGCGCAAGCCUGAACCAGCCAUGCCGCGUGCAGGAUGACGGUCCUAUGGAUUGUAAACUGCUUUUGUACAGGAAGAAACACUGGUUCGUGAACCAGCUUGACGGUACUGUAAGAAUAAGGAUCGGCUAACUCCGUGCCAGCAGCCGCGGUAAUACGGAGGAUCCAAGCGUUAUCCGGAAUCAUUGGGUUUAAAGGGUCCGUAGGCGGUCAGAUAAGUCAGUGGUGAAAGCCCAUCGCUC
This 600-nucleotide ribosomal RNA is filed under the name uncultured bacterium. RNAcentral describes it as "bacterial SSU rRNA". It matches the Rfam family "Bacterial small subunit ribosomal RNA", at positions 9 to 610 of the family's 1533-position model. The record is from RNAcentral.